AGAAUUAUUAUAAUGCACAUAUAAUAUAUUUGAUUAUAUUAUUUUAAUGUUUUAGAGAUCAAAUAUUGCUGAAGAAACUUCGUAAAUGUCACAAACUAGAAAAGAAAUUAAAUUAAACAAUUAGAAAUAGCUCCGCCCUUAGUGGGUUGCGUCAUCUCUAGCGCUAAAUAGAGGUGAAUAGUCUCUCGUCACAGAGUGAAGUGAAAUGGCCGCUGGAGCAGUGAUGCGUGUCAGUUGCAGUUCUGAAGUUAAGAAAGGUUAAACGAGAAGAUAAGCUGAUUCAUCUGACGGAAACUGCAUAAAACAGAUUUUCCUUGAUUCAUCUGAGGUUAUUUCUAAUCGUUAUCAUUUUAUUCUUGGUUGGGUUUUCUUUUCCUCCACUCUUUUCUAUGUUUUGUUUCUUCUCUGUCCUUCCAUAUCUCUCUUUGAUAUUGAAUGAGGAGUUUCUUGGAGUUCUGAGUUAGAACUGUUUCUGCCAUCAACGAGGAGUGCUCAACAUUGGUGGAAACUGGCGGGCCAACCUGGUUUUUCUUGAGCUUGGACAACGUUUCAUGUUUCAUCGAAGUGGUAGGACCACACAUACUCAUUUUUUCCUUCC
Long non-coding RNA from Sinocyclocheilus anshuiensis, 598 nucleotides. RefSeq lists it as uncharacterized. The transcript is spliced from 3 exons. NCBI's taxonomy places the organism in Eukaryota, Metazoa, Chordata, Actinopteri, Cypriniformes, Cyprinidae. The record is from RefSeq and is a predicted model, not a curated record.